CCCCUAGAUGUUCUGGGCCGCACGCGCGCUACACUGAACAGUUCAACAAGUCUUAACCUUGGCCGAUAGGUCUGGGUAAUCUUUGAACGCUGUUCGUGAUUGGGAUAGACCUUUGCAAUUAUGGGUCUUCAACGAGGAAUUCCUAGUAAACGCAAGUCAUCAGCUUGCAUUGAUUACGUCCCUGCCCUUUGUACACACCGCCCGUCGCACCUACCGAUUGAGUGAUCCGGUGAAUAAUUCGGACUGCAGCAAUGUUCAGCUUCUGAAUGUUGCAGUGGAAAGUUUAGUGAACCUUAUCACUUAGAGGAAGGAGAAGUCGUAACA
Molecule: ribosomal RNA, 324 nt
Filed under: uncultured eukaryote
Lineage: Eukaryota
Description: partial 18S ribosomal RNA
Rfam family: Eukaryotic small subunit ribosomal RNA
Source: RNAcentral